GACAGAGGUGCCAAGCGUUAGGCGGAAUCACUGGGCUUAAAGCGUGUGUAGGCGGAUUUGUAAGUACCUUGUGAAAUCCCACGGCUUAACCGUGGAACGGCUGGGUAUACUGCGAAUCUUGGGCCAUCUAGGGGCUACUGGAACAAACGGUGGAGCGGUGAAAUGCGUAGAUAUCGUUUGGAACGCCAAUGGUGAAAACAAGUAGCUGGGGAUGUGCCGACGCUGAGACACGAAAGCCAGGGGAGCGAACGGG
RNAcentral lists this ribosomal RNA (253 nucleotides) under uncultured bacterium. RNAcentral describes it as "partial 16S ribosomal RNA". It matches the Rfam family "Bacterial small subunit ribosomal RNA", at positions 524 to 776 of the family's 1533-position model. The record is from RNAcentral.